This 941-nucleotide ribosomal RNA is filed under the name Salmonella enterica subsp. enterica serovar Tucson. RNAcentral's name for it is "partial 23S ribosomal RNA". It matches the Rfam family "Bacterial large subunit ribosomal RNA", at positions 711 to 1566 of the family's 2925-position model. The record is from RNAcentral. Lineage: Bacteria; Pseudomonadati; Pseudomonadota; Gammaproteobacteria; Enterobacterales; Enterobacteriaceae.
AGACCCGAAACCCGGUGAUCUAGCCAUGGGCAGGUUGAAGGUUGGGUAACACUAACUGGAGGACCGAACCGACUAAUGUUGAAAAAUUAGCGGAUGACCUGUGGCUGGGGGUGAAAGGCCAAUCAAACCGGGAGAUAGCUGGUUCUCCCCGAAAGCUAUUUAGGUAGCGCCUCGUGAAUUCAUCUCCGGGGGUAGAGCACUGUUUCGGCUAGGGGGCCAUCCCGGCUUACCAACCCGAUGCAAACUGCGAAUACCGGAGAAUGUUAUCACGGGAGACACACGGCGGGUGCUAACGUCCGUCGUGAAGAGGGAAACAACCCAGACCGCCAGCUAAGGUCCCAAAGUCAUGGUUAAGUGGGAAACGAUGUGGGAAGGCCCAGACAGCCAGGAUGUUGGCUUAGAAGCAGCCAUCAUUUAAAGAAAGCGUAAUAGCUCACUGGUCGAGUCGGCCUGCGCGGAAGAUGUAACGGGGCUAAACCAUGCACCGAAGCUGCGGCAGCGAACGUAUCACCCAAGACAACUUUGCACAGUUGACGAUUGGCGGAGCGAAGCGACGUCAAAGCGUUUUACAACGUCGAGUUGGCUUAGGGAUACGUUCGUUGGGUAGGGGAGCGUUCUGUAAGCCUGUGAAGGUGGCCUGUGAGGGUUGCUGGAGGUAUCAGAAGUGCGAAUGCUGACAUAAGUAACGAUAAAGCGGGUGAAAAGCCCGCUCGCCGGAAGACCAAGGGUUCCUGUCCAACGUUAAUCGGGGCAGGGUGAGUCGACCCCUAAGGCGAGGCCGAAAGGCGUAGUCGAUGGGAAACGGGUUAAUAUUCCCGUACUUGGUGUUACUGCGAAGGGGGGACGGAGAAGGCUAUGUUGGCCGGGCGACGGUUGUCCCGGUUUAAGCGUGUAGGUGUGUGUUCCAGGUAAAUCCGGUUCACUUUAACACUGAGGCGUGA